This 253-nucleotide ribosomal RNA is filed under the name uncultured bacterium. RNAcentral's name for it is "partial 16S ribosomal RNA". It matches the Rfam family "Bacterial small subunit ribosomal RNA", at positions 524 to 776 of the family's 1533-position model. The record is from RNAcentral.
UACGUAGGGGGCAAGCGUUGUCCGGAUUUAUUGGGCGUAAAGAGCGUGUAGGCGGCCAUGUAGGUCCGUUGUGAAAACUCGAGGCUCAACCUCGAGACGCCGAUGGAAACCAUGUGGCUAGAGUCCGGAAGAGGAGAGUGGAAUUCCUGGUGUAGCGGUGAAAUGCGCAGAUAUCGUAAGGAAGACCAGUGGCGAAGGCGGGUCUCUGGACAGUUCCUGACACUGAGGCACGAAGGCCAGGGGAGCAAACGGG